GGAGGAUAAUGACCAUCGCAACCUUUACCUGGCAAAGGAGGGUCUUAUUUUGGAGGGCACCCCAGCUGCUGAAGGUGUUUCAGUGGGUGAUAUGUCAAAGCGCAAGGGGCUGCAAGAAAAGAAGAUUAUCAAGCUGAAGUCCCCAAAUUUCCAUGUGUCAAGGACACGGCUGAUUAUGUACAAUGUUCCCAAGUCAAUGACUGAAAAACAGCUGAAGACACUUUGCAUUGAUGCAGUUACUUCUCGUGCUACUAAGCAAAAGCCUGUUAUCCGGCAGAUAAAGUUUUUGAAGGACGUGAAAAAAGGACAAGCAGUGGCAAAGAAUCAUUCUCGUGGAGUAGCUUUUCUUGAGUUUUCAGAGCAUGAACAUGCACUUGUGGCUUUGAGAGUUCUUAACAACAAUCCUGAGACUUUUGGUCCUGAGCAUCGACCAAUAGUGGAGUUUGCUCUUGACAAUAUCCAAACAAUGAAGCUUCGUCAGAAAUUUCAGCAGCAAGGUUUUAACAGGAACAAAGAAGAUUUGCAGAAGAAUGACAAUACGAAUGAACGGGAUACCCGCGAUAAACAGUCAAGAAAACGGAAGGCCCCAGGAGAAGAUGAAGCAACAAACAAGCGUGUCAGAGGUGUCACUUCAAGGGAAGGCAAUGUGUCGUCAGUUUCAGGUAGUAAAGAUGGAGAUCAACCAAAAAAUAAAGGUGUUAAAGGAGCCGCCUUCUCUGCAGAAAAAAGAGAUGAGAAGAAGAACAAGAAGGAAGGUAAAAAGCUAGGAGGCGCAAAACAGAAGCUAAACGAUAAUCAAGAAGGAAAAAGGCAUGGUGGCUUUGGUAGUGAAAAAACAGGUAAUGCUACUCCCAAGGUUGGACAAAGCGAAGACGUUGCAGCAAGAGCAACAAAGAGGAAAUUUGAAGAUAAAACUAACCAACAAAAACAAAGCGUCAGUUUACAGAACCGGAAAAAGGAUAAAAAGAAGAAAGAUGCAGUUGGACGAGAUGGAGUAGACAAGCUAGAUAUGCUAAUUGAACAAUAUACAUCCAAAUUUACUCGCGGCAGUUCUAAUCAAACUAAUAGUAACCAGCAGCGCUCUAAGCAGCUUAAGAGAUGGUUCCAAUCCUAAACCAUUCACAGGUUCUUGUGUAGCUUAAUUUUAUUGUGAUAGUAAGAAAAGGUGAGAAUCAUCGUUUUUGGGUUUGUGUACUAUUUUGUUGUAUUUUCUCCAUAAAAUAUCUCAUAACAAUAUUUAGUUUUAAAAUAUGGGAUUAUAUUUUUGGUCAUAGAUUUUC
This 1280-nucleotide unclassified non-coding RNA is filed under the name Hevea brasiliensis (rubber tree). Lineage: Eukaryota; Viridiplantae; Streptophyta; Magnoliopsida; Malpighiales; Euphorbiaceae. The record is from RNAcentral.